AUGCAAGUCGAACGAAGUAGCAAUACUUAGUGGCAGACGGGUGAGUAACAUGUGGGUAUCUACCCUUUGGCCUGGAAUAACACGAGAAAACUUGUGCUAAUACCGGAUAAGUCUUUACGGAGAAAGCUUUAUGCACCAUUGGAUGAGCCCGCACUUGAUUAGUUUGUUGGUAGGGUAAUGGCCUACCAAGACUAUGAUCAAUAGCUGAUUUGAGAGGAUGAUCAGCCACAUUGGGACUGAGACACGGCCCAAACUCCUACGGGAGGCAGCAGUGGGGAAUCUUGCACAAUGGAGGAAACUCUGACGCAGCGAUGCCGCGUGAGUGAAGAAGGCCUUUGGGUUGUAAAGCUCUUUCGUCGGGGAAGAAAAUGACUGUACCCGAAUAAGAAGGUCCGGCUAACUUCGUGCCAGCAGCCGCGGUAAUACGAAGGGACCUAGCGUAGUUCGGAAUUACUGGGCUUAAAGAGUUCGUAGGUGGUUGAAAAAGUUGGUGGUGAAAUCCCAGAGCUUAACUCUGGAACUGCCAUCAAAACUUUUCAGCUAGAGUAUGAUAGAGGAAAGCAGAAUUUCUAGUGUAGAGGUGAAAUUCGUAGAUAUUAGAAAGAAUACCAAUUGCGAAGGCAGCUUUCUGGAUCAUUACUGACACUGAGGAACGAAAGCAUGGGUAGCGAAGAGGAUUAGAUACCCUCGUAGUCCAUGCCGUAAACGAUGUGUGUUAGACGUUGGAAAUUUAUUUUCAGUGUCGCAGGGAAACCGAUAAACACACCGCUGGGGAGU
RNAcentral lists this ribosomal RNA (777 nucleotides) under uncultured Pelagibacterales bacterium. RNAcentral describes it as "bacterial SSU rRNA". It matches the Rfam family "Bacterial small subunit ribosomal RNA", at positions 55 to 881 of the family's 1533-position model. Lineage: Bacteria; Pseudomonadati; Pseudomonadota; Alphaproteobacteria; Candidatus Pelagibacterales. The record is from RNAcentral.